UGAUGUAUAUUGUUCGCAUUUGUUAUGAUUUUAUUUUUAAAAAACAUCUUAAAAUGAUAAGAGAUAAAAAGAAUAUUUGAAUUCUACUUGAGUUUGAUUUUUAGAUUAUUUGAAACUAUUGAAAAAUCUAAAAGAUGAUAAGAAGAAAGUAUAGUGCAACCGAACGAGAAGCAAAUAGAACAGAUAGAAGGCCAAACAAUGCAACAAGUGG
Molecule: long non-coding RNA, 211 nt
Filed under: Vigna radiata
Lineage: Eukaryota; Viridiplantae; Streptophyta; Magnoliopsida; Fabales; Fabaceae
Description: long non-coding RNA (VRAD_LNC009110)
Source: RNAcentral